Long non-coding RNA from Mercenaria mercenaria, 8125 nucleotides. RefSeq lists it as uncharacterized. The record is from RefSeq and is a predicted model, not a curated record. The transcript has 7 exons. NCBI's taxonomy places the organism in Eukaryota, Metazoa, Mollusca, Bivalvia, Venerida, Veneridae.
UUACAUGUUUACACAUAAUUUAAGGUUACUGGUUUUCAAUAUAGACUUAUGCUUUUAUUUUUGUUGGUUAUAGCACAUUUUUGUAGCUUUUAAAGUUUGUUCUUGAACAUAUACAUCGUUCAUCUUGCAAUUGCCUGAAAAGGUAUUUUACUGAUAGAACCGCUCUCCUCAGUUAAUGGGAAAGUACUACCUACAAGAAUAGAUCACAAUAACACAAAGAAAAUCAGUUAGCAAAAUAAAAAGCUACCAAGCAAAUUUAUAGCAGACUGGGAUUCAGUUGAGUCAUCUGGAUGUUAUAAGUGUUUGCAUUAACAACAGCCGGGUUAUCAAAUAUCGGGAUGCAAGGCUCCACCUUUAAGAUCAGCUUAGAUUACAGGAUUCAAAAUACAUCAACUAAUGCGAAAGCAGUAUAUCUUUUGCGUGUACUGCUGUAUCUGUUCAUUUUCAAAAUGCAGAUUUCGACAUAAACCGUCACCUUCUUGAUUAACUGCGUAGAAUAAUGUCUAAAAAUACCAAGCUGGUUUACCACAAAUCAAAUAUAAUACAUAUUGUAGAUACCGUGUAACUAAAUAAGGUAAAAUAGUUCUUUAAACAAGUAAUAUUCAUUUGAUUAAACCUAGGGUGUUGUAAGACAAUGGAUUCUGGACGCAUACUGUUUUCAGAACAUGUUUUCUUUCAUCCGUAAAUAUUUGGUAAAGCUAUUUAUGAAUUAAACGCAUGACUAUAAAAACUCGAAUUUACUUACAUUACUUGAACACCUCUUGGACUCGUCAACAACGAAGACAAUAGUGUGUAACUUGAUGUAAAUCAAGCGGUCUUUUAUCAUACAAGAAAUUAUAAAAUAAAAAAGCAAUACGUAACAUGUAUAUUAUCGACAGCGCUGGAACUAUUCAGAUUACAUGCAUACACCAGUUCGAUGGAUAUAAUGAAACACAGUUUAAAUGCAGCAGCAAUGAAAUAUGCUGUGGAGAUCAGUGUUGCGACAUUGAUAUCACCGGUAACCCUCUCUUCUGAUAACAGCGAUCUUCAUCUCAAAAGUACCGAUACUACUGACAGUGAUGAACAAGGCUGUAACCCCAAAACAGUUUUAUUCCCACAGCACGCCCAGUAAUCAAAAUGAUAGUUGAUAACAACAUACAUUACAAUAUAAAACUAUUUCAGAUUAAGAUUCGUCCGUUGUUAAGGACAUUUUGAAUUUAGUUAGUUAGUUGGUGACUUUUCAUUCUUUUGCACUUGUAUCACCAUAAAUAUACAUUAAUUGCACAAUAAAAAUCUGACAGUUUUAUAUCCAAAUCUCUACAUAGAUAUUAAAUUCGCGGUAAGGGAUAUGUAGUUAAAUUUAAGUACCAAUUUAAUGCAAAUAAACUGCAAAUAUUCUGUUUACAAACACGGAAAUCUGUAAUAUCAGAGGGUCUGUUUUGCUAUUUUUGAAGUACCUGACAGUGUGCUUUUAUUUUCACAAUGUUUUAUUGUUCAUUGACUGCACUUCAAGUCAUUUUAUAAGCAGUGUAUUUAAGAGUAAAAAUAAAACAUACUAGGGAUGAAAGAUCAAAGUUAUGUCAGUGUUUUAUCUGUUUGACAUACAACAAACGAAUCAGUUUGAUAAGAAGUGCCACCGAUUUAUUGCUUAAAGUAUAGAAGGUUCUUUAUCCAGACUAGACAAAUUUAUCAGAGAAGGGAUGAUCAUAGUGCAAAGGUAAAUUUAAUCACCAUUUGCACAAUUGACAACAAUUUUAUUCAGCUAUACGGAAAUAAACUAGUCCCUUUUUAAAUCUCCAACAUUUUCACAACGUAUCCAGCUGUUUCGAGUUUAGUAUCAAUCCUUCUCAUCUUUCAGCUAUCAUUAGGUACAGCGAUUUUGAAAAAAAGAACUUGUUUCGACCUUUUGUUUAAGUCCUCGGACAACGUCAAUGUCAGCUCGAAAUAUAACACGUUAGUUCACAACUUAUGGUGACAAUAUGUAUCAAAAUUCUGUUUGUCUAACAAAUACAAUCUAAUUUGCAUGUUGUAAAUAGAAAACUUAUAUUAGGAAAACACAGUAAUGAAAAUAACAUUAGAUUUGAUUACUCGUAGGUUUUUAUCGAAUUCAAACUAAGUUAGAAACUAUUAUUAAGUAUACAGUACUUAUUGAAGAUCAGUUUAUCUAGCUGCCAAAACAAUAUGUUAAAAAAAAAACAAAAACAAAAAGAAAACGAGCAGCUUGUGAUGUUGCCAUUUUCAAUUAUGCAUUUUGUAUUCUUCUGAUAUUGUCCUGUAAUUGUGGGAAAUAAUUGAUGCAUUACACAUCUUGAAAUAAAUAGAAUGAGGCAGUAUAACCUAUUUAGCUGAAGCGGAUCCCCCUGAGCUUUCACCUAGCAUUGAAAUCUACUACUAUUAUUAUUGUUAUCAUUGUUAUUAUGUGUAACGUGCCCUUGAAAACUAUAUUGACAUGACAAAUAUAGCAUAGAAUAAAUAUUCUUUCAUCAGAUCUGAAUUCUAUUGCAUUUUGUGGUAGGAGUUUAGAGUAUUUGCCAAAAAAAUAAUCGCAGUCUCCAGAUCAAUAACAAUGAGCAUAGAUAAUAUACAAUGUAUCAAUGUUCACCUGAGAUAUUACAUGUCGAGGCACGAUCUAACCGUACAUUUGAUUUUUUUUUACAAUCUUUCAUGUAUGGGUAAAAUAGUAUUUAAGAUCGUUAGAUCUUAAGAUUGGCUGAUUAAACUUUCAUACGUUGUAAAUCGAAGUAAUGAAUAGUACGAGCGAAGCAUUUCACUUCCCUGUUAAAAAGCUUACUGUGGUGUUGCUUUCAGUCAUAUUUGUAAAUAAUGGCUGAGGACGAACUAGAGAGGUUUAAGCCAGUUGCUGACAGUUGUUCGUCAGAAGACGAAAUAGAUACAGUUACACCCUUUAUGGCAAAAAGUAAAAGCAAAAGGGGAUUUAAAUACAAAAAAAAAAUGAUCAGUUAGUUUAGUUUAUAUCACAUUGAUUAUAUUGAUGCCAUUUAAACGUAGUAGAAAGAAAGCCCUUUGUAGAGUAUUUUUGGAGUUAUGUAUAAUUAAUUUUUGAUAAAUUCAUACAAACUACGUGAAUUGUCAGAUGAUUAAAAUUUUAAUUACUCUGAAAACGAAUUGAUAAAUGCAAAAAUAUUGUUUCAUAUCAUUGCAAAUGUUACUAUUUGUCUUGUCAGAGACAGUCUUUUUGGAAAAUGAUAACGUUCAUUUGUUUUCAUGUUAAGAAAACAAAGUUGAUGAGAAUCUUAGAAGAAUAGAAAUAGUACGGGAAAAAAACGACGGACCUGUCAACACCUUCCUGAAUAGGGACAUAUUUUUUUUUCACAUAGGUAUGCUUAUCUUGUUAAAGAAAUAAUUAUUAAAUCAAUAGAAACAACUGGUAUUGUAAAGUGUGUAUAUAAUUAACACAUGAAAAAACUGAGUUACAAUAACUAAUUUCAAUUAUGUCGCAUAUGCAGUAUCAACCCAUAACCUUAAAUAGAUAUUAUUAUUUUUGCCGAUAUUGGCAUAUAUGCGACAUCACCCUACCAGAGUGGAAAUAUAUUUAAUGUUUUCAUAAGCAUCUUUUUCAUUCUGGAAUUUGUUUGUUUCGUUCUAGUAAAAUAAAUAUCUCGUGCACUUGAAAAUGACAGCGGAUACUGUGAACCUGAGAAAUUGUAUGUCUUGGUCCCACAAUAGCCGAUUUCACCCUCUAAUACAUUUGAUAUUUAUGUGAAUAUCAUAUUCAGUUUGAUAAGCUACUGCAAAAGCAGAUCACUUUACUUAACAUAUUUUAGAGAUAUGGAGAAAAUUUUGGACUCAUACGAGAAAGGGGAAAGGUUUUAUUUGUACACAAGUAGAGGACCUUCUUCAGAAGCCAUGCAUAUUGGACAUCUUAUUCCCUUCGUGUUCUCGAAGUAAAUUACCACUAUUAAAGAAUACACAUUAACUGGUACAUCUGGAAUAUCAUGUCCUAUUUUCAAAACUAGAAUACCUUUCAGUCCUGUUUUGAGACCAGAUUUCUCAAUGAUAGAUACAGAAAUAUAACAAAUGUGAUACAGUUAGUGAAAAUCUUUCUAACUGGCAAUCGUUAAUACCUAGAUCAAUUGCUACAAGUAAAUGUUUAUUUAUUAAUGUGACACGUGCAAUUUACACAUAAAUAAUACAAUUUUCAUAUAACAAAUUAUUUGCACCCGGCCCUGUGGGCCUAUAAGUCACCUCAUAUUUUAACAUAUAUAAAGAUGUAGUGUGAACAGAGUUAUCAAUACAUUUGUAGCAACUACAAUUUGACGCAGUCUUAUCAUGUUAUUAUAUUAUCAUGUUAUAAUAAUAAAUAAAAACAAUUCAAAGUGUAACGAGAACAUCUUUCGUCAUACAUAUAAAAGAAAUGUUUCACAUUUAAUACACAAAAAUAGAACACGAAUUAUCAGUGAAACAGACAAUUUUUACGCUUUAAAUAUGCAUCCAUUAAGAACUUAGCUAAUCUUCUUGGGUAAAUGUUCACAGGAUAUACAAGUUUCUCAGAGUCGCUCAUACUUAUGUAAAUAUCCCCUAAAGCAAUGUCAUUAAAAGCCCGCCCGCUUAGCUCAGUAGGUAGAGCGUCGGUCUACGGAUCGCGGGGUCGUGCGUUCGAUCCUCGGGCGGGGCGUAUGUUCUCCGUGACUAUUUGAUAAACGACAUUGUGUCUGAAAUCAUUAGUCCUCCACCUCUGAUUCAUGUGGGGAAGUUGGCAGUUACUUGCGGAGAACAGGUUUGUACUGGUACAGAAUCCAGGAACACUGGUUAGGUUAGCUGCCCGCCGUUACAUGACUGAAAUAAUGUUGAAAAACGGCGUUAAACCCAAAACAAACAAACAAACAAUGUCAUUAAAGUAUUGCAACCUUAAAUUGUUGUAAAAGGUACAGUUGAUAACAAAAUGGAUUUCGUCUUCAAUUAGUCCCGUAUCACACAUUUUACAGAGUCUUUGCUCGAUGCGUUCUCCUAUAUAUCGCUCAGUCUCUACUCGAAUUGGUAAAAUGCCACACCUUAACUGUGCAAGAAGAGAUCGUUCAUUACGUUUUAAAUUUAAAUCUACAUAUUGUUUUUUUUAAAUUCAGUUUUAAACAGUCUGUAAGCUCGUAAUUUAGGUACCGUUAUAACAUUUUCCUUCCAGGCAUUUAAGUAAUAGUUCCUUAUAUGCGUGUUUGCUUUGUUUAAUUGGAUAACUGUACGGUUAUUGAAAUGGUCUAUAAGACCUACUUUUGUUAAAACAUGAGUGGGGUCAAAAUAAUUGAAAUUUACACAAACAAAGAAGUUUGUUUUCUGUUUGUUUUUAUUGGGUUCCAGUUACUAUGACACUACUUUAUUAAGGUCAUAUUGCGGCUUUUCAACUUGUUAUGGUAGAAGACGAUUCUAGGUGCCCAUUAAGCUAUUGUUUCAGACAUGAGUAGAACUAUCAAACUUCUUUAAGGUAGCCAGAUAACGUCCUCACAUGUUGACUUCUAACCUACGUUUAUCCAAAUGAAUACUACUAAAACGUUACAAUAUGUUUUAUUUCAGGUGGCUACAAGAAACAUUUGAUGUUCCUCUUGUGAUACAGAUGUCUGAUGAUGAAAAGUAUUUUUCCGAGGACUUGAAAAAUUGUUAAGAAAGCAUAUCAAUAGAAACUAUAAAGAAAUUAGUUAAAUGAAAUGAGUAAGCGCAUUACUCUGAAUAUCUUAAAUUCGAGCAAUAUGUUCUGACUGCUAUUAAGCAAUAAAUUGUUAAUUUGGCUGUUUAAUGGGUGGCCCAAAGCUAUCAUGCGCGCAGACAACUCAAUGUGUUUUAUAUAUUGUUGUUAACUACAUAAUCAUGAUUUGGUCCUUUUAUGUACAGCUAAGUUGUUUUUCUUUCUGUAAAAUUGAUUUAUUUGAUUCAACGUUGAAUGUUUUAAAGUAAAAGAUCUCUGAAACAACGUUUCUAGGUCAACUAAAGGCAACAGUUAAAAUAGCAAACAUUGGAACUUUGGAGAAAAUGUUCGUACUUUAAAUGACAACGUGACGUGACUCAAUCGAGACUUCUGAAAUGUUCCGCCAUUGGAGUCACAAGUUGCAUCGAAAUUCUGUAAAUAUCAGUUGAAUACAUGUAUAGCUUUAUCUAAGGAAAGUCACUGUAAAUAUUUAACGAUGAUCUGAUUCACCCAAAUUUGUUUUACGUUUUUUUGGGUUGCAGCCCUGAGUAUCACAAAAACAUAUGCCGAGUCCAGAAGCGUAUCAGGGUGUCAAUGAUGAAAAGCGUCUUUGAUUUUAAGGACGAAGGUAACAUCGGAAAAAUAAUUUUUCCAGCAAUACAGGCUGCUCCUUGUUUCAGCUCUUCUUUCCCUCACAUAUUCUACGGCAAGAGAGAUGUGCCAUGCUUGGUACCAUGUGCCAUAGAUCAGUUUCUCCUUUAGGACUGUUACUUUGUCUUGACGAGAGAGGUAGCCACCAAAAUGGACUGUAAAAUGCCAGCUCUUAUUCACGGCAAAUUUGUUCCAUCUUUAAAACAAGGAGUUCAAUCUAAAAUGAGUUCCAGUAUGGAUGAACCGUCCAUUUGUUUGAAUGAUACAGACGAAGCAAUUGAAAGAAAGAUACGCGCCUACAAUCCAAACCCAAUCUCUGAAAGUGAGAAAAAAGACAUGGGUUUGAGAAAAAGUUAAGUUGAUGUCAUUUGGCAUUAUCUAUACUUCUUCAUGAAAGAUGAUGAGGUUUACACACUAGAACAGAAAUACGAUACAGGUGAAAUUCAGUCUGAUGUUUCUGAAAGAAAAACUGAUUGAGAUUCUGAAGAAAACAAUCGGCGAAAUUAGACAAAGACGGAAACAAGUCACGGACGAGAUGGUUGAUAGGUUCAUGACACCGAGACAACUGAACUACAAGUACAAUCAUGGGUCCACAGAAAUGUUGUAGCUCAAAAACAAAAACUUGUGAUUUAAACAUUGUUAUAAAUUCAAAUUUAACGGUAUGAAAGACAAACAAAUAGAUAUAGUAUGUCUCCAGAUAAAACAUCAAAUUUCUAUUUCUACGACUUCUUUCAUCAUGUUCAUUAUGUUUAUAAUUUCCAGUUUAUUAUGCUAUCUUUUUUGUCACAUUGCAAUAACUGUCAUCUUAACAUUUAAGGCAAUUAAAAUAUAAUAUUAUGGAUAGAAAGUAAGAGUGGAAACUCUAUUAACUUGCAAUAAACUAUAAAUCCUGUGUUGUUAAAUAUGCCAUAUAGUGAUAGUUAUUAAAACAAUCCAUUGACUUUUUAGCCGAUAAGUUUGCUUGUACUGUUUAAUGAUACAUGCAGUUAAAUUAGCAGUUGUGCCACAUAAACAGACAUAUAAAUACGUAUUAUGAUGUAUAUUCAUGAGAUGUAUAUAUCAAAUAAACGUUUAUAUACGUAUACAAUGCGUAAUCACAUUGCAAAGCUUACACGACAAUUAAAAUGUCAAUAUUGUAAAUAUAUCACCUUUCUUCAAAUGCUUUAUCAUCAUUUGUAGUGAAUAAUAUUUAUUUAGAUUUAAAUCAUACGCUGUAUGGAAAUAUAAGUCGGAAUUUAGUCACGUCACUUUUACAAAAAGAGGUGAAUGUUAAAUAAACUUUCAUAUGACUCAAUCUUACCUUGAGAAGGCGUUCGUAAGAGAUUAAAUGCAGAGGAGCGGCAAAAAGUUAUCCCGGUGGAUAUGUUUUUGAGUUUGCAUAUAUAUUGUUUCUAAUAUUAGUUUGACGAUAACGAAACGGAUGUUAUUAAAACGAAAUAAACAAGAUAAAAUACUAAAGCGUUUAUUACUGAUGUAUGAAUUAUAGCAAAUUACUUGAAAUUGAUGUAUCUAUCGACCAUAUCACAAGUGAAAAACUACAAAAGACCGAGGAUGUAAAAGUAAAUGUAGUCAGGGGAAGAUAUUAGUAAAUAGCCGCUAUGACCCGACACACAUUGAAAAGCUAAGAAAUGAACUGAGUUCCAAUCAAUAUCAACAGUGCGCAUUGAAAUAGAUGUUCGCAAUAUGAUUUCUGUUACUCUUAUUUCGCGUGGUUAAAAAUUCAAAAGUUCCAAAUUACUAUUUUGACGGCCUGAAAAGAGUUACGACUAGAUAGCGAUCCAAAGUCUUCGAACAAUGAAGACAUUCAAGCUGUUCAUAAAGGAUUUGCUUUAUCUAUAUUCAUACGGACAAACACGUACA